UACGGAAGGCAGCAGUGGGGAAUAUUGGACAAUGGGCGGAAGCCUGAUCCAGCCAUGCCGCGUGUGUGAAGAAGGCCUUUUGGUUGUAAAGCACUUUAAGCGAGGAGGAGGCUCUCCUAGUUAAUACCUAGGAAGAGUGGACGUUACUCGCAGAAUAAGCACCGGCUAACUCUGUGCCAGCAGCCGCGGUAAUACAGAGGGUGCGAGCGUUAAUCGGAUUUACUGGGCGUAAAGCGUGCGUAGGCGGCUGAUUAAGUCGGAUGUGAAAUCCCCUGAGCUUAACUUAGGAAUUGCAUUCGAUACUGGUCAGCUAGAGUAUGGGAGAGGAUGGUAGAAUUCCAGGUGUAGCGGUGAAAUGCGUAGAGAUCUGGAGGAAUACCGAUGGCGAAGGCAGCCAUCUGGGCCUAAUACUGACGCUGAGGUACGAAAGCAUGGGGAAGCAAACAAGGAAUUAAGAAUAACC
Molecule: ribosomal RNA, 463 nt
Filed under: uncultured bacterium
Lineage: Bacteria
Description: bacterial SSU rRNA
Rfam family: Bacterial small subunit ribosomal RNA
Source: RNAcentral